GAUGAACGCUGGCGGCGUGCCUAAUACAUGCAAGUCGAGCGAACGGACGAGAAGCUUGCUUCUCUGAUGUUAGCGGCGGACGGGUGAGUAACACGUGGAUAACCUACCUAUAAGACUGGGAUAACUUCGGGAAACCGUAGCUAAUACCGGAUAAUAUUUUGAACCGCAUGGUUCAAAAGUGAAAGACGGUCUUGCUGCCACUUAUAGAUGGAUCCGCGCUGCAUUAGCUAGUUGGUAAGGUAACGGCUUACCAAGGCAACGAUGCAUAGCCGACCUGAGAGGGUGAUCGGCCACACUGGAACUGAGACACGGUCCAGACUCCUACGGGAGGCAGCAGUAGGGAAUCUUCCGCAAUGGGCGAAAGCCUGACGGAGCAACGCCGCGUGAGUGACGAAGGUCUUCGGAUCGUAAAACUCUGUUAUUAGGGAAGAACAUAUGUGUAAGUAACUGUGCACAUCUUGACGGUACCUAAUCAGAAAGCCACGGCUAACUACGUG
Molecule: ribosomal RNA, 497 nt
Filed under: uncultured bacterium
Lineage: Bacteria
Description: partial 16S ribosomal RNA
Rfam family: Bacterial small subunit ribosomal RNA
Source: RNAcentral